CGAGUGGCGGACGGGUGAGUAAUGUCUGGGAAACUGCCUGAUGGAGGGGGAUAACUACUGGAAACGGUAGCUAAUACCGCAUAACGUCGCAAGACCAAAGAGGGGGACCUUCGGGCCUCUUGCCAUCGGAUGUGCCCAGAUGGGAUUAGCUAGUAGGUGGGGUAACGGCUCACCUAGGCGACGAUCCCUAGCUGGUCUGAGAGGACGACCAGCCACACUGGAACUGAGACACGGUCCAG
This 239-nucleotide ribosomal RNA is filed under the name uncultured bacterium. RNAcentral's name for it is "partial 16S ribosomal RNA". It matches the Rfam family "Bacterial small subunit ribosomal RNA", at positions 92 to 334 of the family's 1533-position model. The record is from RNAcentral.